UUAGUUGAAACCAAAUAGAGGUGUAUCACUGUUAAUGAUAUCAUUGAAUAUAUAUUCCAAUUAAG
Molecule: transfer RNA, 65 nt
Filed under: Eomantis yunnanensis
Lineage: Eukaryota; Metazoa; Arthropoda; Insecta; Mantodea; Nanomantidae
Description: tRNA-Asn
Source: RNAcentral